Molecule: non-coding RNA, 81 nt
Filed under: Candidatus Competibacter
Lineage: Bacteria; Pseudomonadati; Pseudomonadota; Gammaproteobacteria; Candidatus Competibacteraceae
Also listed under: 1 other name
Description: SAH sequence
Rfam family: SAH (S-adenosyl-L-homocysteine) riboswitch aptamer
Source: RNAcentral
CAUGCCGAGGGGCGCUGCAACGGUAAGACCGUCAGGCUCGGCAUGGCGUGGCUUUCCAAAAGCCAACGGCGCCCGUUCAAC